AGACCAGCCCAGGGUGGCGGAAGAUUCCAAGUUUUAUCAUAAAUCGUGGCGCUGAAACUUCCUUGGCGGUCCACGACUUGAGACUCCACGCUCCCAAUGCAGGGGGCAUGGGAAAAGAAGGGAAAGAGAAAGAAAGGAAGGAGUCCUCACUUUGCUCCUGGUUUCCCAAUUUCCCAUUUCAACUCAAGGUGCCCAGCGACCUUACGCUUCUGCCAAUGGCUUUUUGGGAAUGACUCUUCUCUUCAAACUGCUGCUACUGCUGCUGCUAAGCCGCGUCAGUCGUGUCCGACUCUGUGCGACCCCAUAAGCGGCAGCCCACCAGGCUCCUCCGUCCCUGGGAUUCUCCAGGCAAGAA
Bubalus bubalis (water buffalo) is the source of this 355-nucleotide long non-coding RNA. RefSeq lists it as uncharacterized. Lineage: Eukaryota; Metazoa; Chordata; Mammalia; Artiodactyla; Bovidae. The transcript is spliced from 3 exons. The record is from RefSeq and is a predicted model, not a curated record.